Molecule: ribosomal RNA, 1504 nt
Filed under: Klebsiella quasivariicola
Lineage: Bacteria; Pseudomonadati; Pseudomonadota; Gammaproteobacteria; Enterobacterales; Enterobacteriaceae
Description: bacterial SSU rRNA
Rfam family: Bacterial small subunit ribosomal RNA
Source: RNAcentral
UUGAGAGUUUGAUCCUGGCUCAGAUUGAACGCUGGCGGCAGGCCUAACACAUGCAAGUCGAGCGGUAGCACAGAGAGCUUGCUCUCGGGUGACGAGCGGCGGACGGGUGAGUAAUGUCUGGGAAACUGCCUGAUGGAGGGGGAUAACUACUGGAAACGGUAGCUAAUACCGCAUAACGUCGCAAGACCAAAGUGGGGGACCUUCGGGCCUCAUGCCAUCAGAUGUGCCCAGAUGGGAUUAGCUAGUAGGUGGGGUAACGGCUCACCUAGGCGACGAUCCCUAGCUGGUCUGAGAGGAUGACCAGCCACACUGGAACUGAGACACGGUCCAGACUCCUACGGGAGGCAGCAGUGGGGAAUAUUGCACAAUGGGCGCAAGCCUGAUGCAGCCAUGCCGCGUGUGUGAAGAAGGCCUUCGGGUUGUAAAGCACUUUCAGCGGGGAGGAAGGCGUUGAGGUUAAUAACCUUGUCGAUUGACGUUACCCGCAGAAGAAGCACCGGCUAACUCCGUGCCAGCAGCCGCGGUAAUACGGAGGGUGCAAGCGUUAAUCGGAAUUACUGGGCGUAAAGCGCACGCAGGCGGUCUGUCAAGUCGGAUGUGAAAUCCCCGGGCUCAACCUGGGAACUGCAUUCGAAACUGGCAGGCUAGAGUCUUGUAGAGGGGGGUAGAAUUCCAGGUGUAGCGGUGAAAUGCGUAGAGAUCUGGAGGAAUACCGGUGGCGAAGGCGGCCCCCUGGACAAAGACUGACGCUCAGGUGCGAAAGCGUGGGGAGCAAACAGGAUUAGAUACCCUGGUAGUCCACGCCGUAAACGAUGUCGAUUUGGAGGUUGUGCCCUUGAGGCGUGGCUUCCGGAGCUAACGCGUUAAAUCGACCGCCUGGGGAGUACGGCCGCAAGGUUAAAACUCAAAUGAAUUGACGGGGGCCCGCACAAGCGGUGGAGCAUGUGGUUUAAUUCGAUGCAACGCGAAGAACCUUACCUGGUCUUGACAUCCACAGAACUUUCCAGAGAUGGAUUGGUGCCUUCGGGAACUGUGAGACAGGUGCUGCAUGGCUGUCGUCAGCUCGUGUUGUGAAAUGUUGGGUUAAGUCCCGCAACGAGCGCAACCCUUAUCCUUUGUUGCCAGCGGUUAGGCCGGGAACUCAAAGGAGACUGCCAGUGAUAAACUGGAGGAAGGUGGGGAUGACGUCAAGUCAUCAUGGCCCUUACGACCAGGGCUACACACGUGCUACAAUGGCAUAUACAAAGAGAAGCGACCUCGCGAGAGCAAGCGGACCUCAUAAAGUAUGUCGUAGUCCGGAUUGGAGUCUGCAACUCGACUCCAUGAAGUCGGAAUCGCUAGUAAUCGUAGAUCAGAAUGCUACGGUGAAUACGUUCCCGGGCCUUGUACACACCGCCCGUCACACCAUGGGAGUGGGUUGCAAAAGAAGUAGGUAGCUUAACCUUCGGGAGGGCGCUUACCACUUUGUGAUUCAUGACUGGGGUGAAGUCGUAACAAGGUAACC